GGACCCGCACAAGCGGUGGAGUAUGUGGUUUAAUUCGAUGCAACACGAAGAACCUUACCAGGGUUUUGAAAUCAUUUCAAAACUCCUUGAAAGAGGAGCCUCCUUCGGGAUGAAAUGACAGGUGGUCAUGGCUGUCGUCAGCUCGUGUUGUGAAAAUGUCGAGUUAAGUCUCGUAACGAGCGCAACCCAUGUCUCUUGUUGCUCACUGAGUGCUUAAGAGAGACUGCCGACCAACAUCGGAGGAAGGUGUGGAUGAUGUCAAGUCAGCAUGCCCCUUACAUCCUGGGCUACACACGUACUACAAUGGUAAGGACAAUGAGCUGCGAUCCUGCGAAGGCUAGCCAA
RNAcentral lists this ribosomal RNA (345 nucleotides) under uncultured bacterium. RNAcentral describes it as "bacterial SSU rRNA". It matches the Rfam family "Bacterial small subunit ribosomal RNA", at positions 917 to 1271 of the family's 1533-position model. The record is from RNAcentral.